Molecule: long non-coding RNA, 4330 nt
Organism: Malaclemys terrapin pileata
Lineage: Eukaryota; Metazoa; Chordata; Testudines; Emydidae
Exons: 3
Source: RefSeq, a predicted model, not a curated record
GGCUGCUUCUGGGAGCGUCGUGGGGCCAUGGCAUGCAGGCAGCCUGCCUGAGCCCUGCUGCGCCGCCGGUCAGGAACCACCUGUAGUAAGUGCCUCCCGGCCGGAGCCUACACUUCUCACCCCCUCCUGCACCCCAGCCCCCUGCCCCAGGUCAGAAUCCCCCCCUGCGCCCAAUCUCCCUCCCAGAAAGAAACUAAUCUAACAGCUGCUCUAAGGAAAAAGACUUGUAUACGGGGUCCUGCAAAAUCUAAUAGCCCCGGGCCCACAGGAGAGUUAAUCCGGCCCUCACUAUCUGGUAUUGGCCCCUGCAGGACAUCCGACUGGAUAGCAUGUGACGGGAUAGGGAUGACGCUAUUUAUAAAGUAAACUGUCCCAAGAAAACAACGUGGGCUGAGAAUGCGUUGCCAGAAUAUUGAGCUGCCCACCUCUUCGCAGGGCUGAUCAGCUGACACAACUGAGAUGGAGGACGGUCUUGAAAUUAAAGCACCGGACUGUGAGUCAGGGCUCCUGACCUCUGGGCUUGGCUCUGCCACUGAUUCGCUGUGUGACUGUAAAUAAGGCCUUUAACCACUCCGUGCCUCAGUUUCCCCAUCUGCAAAAUGGAAGUGCCGCUCGCCCACCAGCGCAGCUACUCCGUCAGUCCGGGAUAUUUUGUACCCUGGUAUUACAGUGUCCCGGUUAUCAUCGUUCUACCAAGUUUCUGUAAUGCCGCCUAUAUCAAUAGCCUCAUUUAAUACCAGGUGCUCAAGUUCACUCAGCUUAAUAUUUAGACUUCUAGCGUCCGUGUACAAGCCCGUAUAACAUCUGUCGCUAGUGAAUUGUCUGCCUUCAUGGGAAGUAAUUGAAUGGGACUCUUUUUCAUUUGACUGUUUCUCUGCAGUUCCUACCUGCGCUUUAUCAACCUCGAUCCCCUCCUCUCUACUAGGAUAUAGCGAAUCCCCUUCAAUAAAUCCUCCCCUAAGGCAUGUCUCAGAACCGCAUGCUCCUGCGCAUCUCUCAGCUGUCCCCCUCCUUGAUGAACGAUUGAAUUUUCCACGCCAGCAAUCUGGUUCUGUUUUGGCUUCGGUGGAGCCCGUCCUUCCUGUACAGGCUCCUCCUUCCCCACAUGGUUCUCCGGGUCCUAACAAACCUAAACCCGCCUCCCAGCACCAUCGUCUCAUCCACGUGUUGGGGCCCUGCAGUUCUGCCCGUCUUACUGGACCUGUGCGUGGAACUGGAAGCAUUUCAGAGAAUGCUCCCAGGAGGGUCUGGACUCGAAUCUCUGACCUAGCAGCCUAAAUUUGGCCUCCAGGAACUCCCUCCUACCAUUCCCUACAUCACUGGUACCACGACCACCAGCUCCUCCCCAGCACUGCACAGAAGUCUGUCUAGAGAUCCACAACAUUCGCACCCAGCAGGCAAUUCACCGUGUGGUUCUCCCGGUCAUCACAACCCAACUCUCUAAUAACCAACCCCCAUGACUGUCUCCUGUCUCUUCCUAACAACAGGGUCCCCUCCCCUGGAGGGGUGUCCUCAGUGCGAGAGGAUACCAGGACAUCUUCUGGAAGGAGGCUCUCAACUACAGGACUCAGUUUCCCUCUGUUCUCCGUCCCCGAGACUUUCACCCUCCCCAACAGCACAGAAGCAGCCAGACUGGGGCUGGGCCUGCUCUGCUGUGUCCAGGAAAACCUGGUCUGUGUCCCUGGCUGUCUCCCUGAGCUCCUCCGGUUCAGUCACUCUGGUCUCCAGAGCCCAUACUCAGUGCCCGAGGGCCAGGAGCUGUUUGUGCUGAACACACACAUACGCCACCUGCCCGUAAGGCAGGCAAUCCUACAUGCUGCAUUCAGGCUUAAUUAGUUAAUAUUUGUAAAGCUCUUUGAGCCUUUCAGAUGGAAAGUCCUUCAGAGGUGCAACAUAUGGUAAAGCGCCCGACAGUGUGUGUAUGCACCACUGCCUUCCGUUGUGUGGAAUCAGAACUGCUCAACUGCGUGUCAUAGGCCCUAUACCACUAACAGAGAUUCUCCUUUAGCUCAAAUGGCUGUGACUCGGAAUCUGGGUUCUCUUGCCCACUGCUAGAGUGAAGCUCAAAUAGCCACAGAUGAGCAGAGUUUGUUCGAUUCGUUUCCCUGUGCUCUGCCAGGUAGACUUCUUGGAGGCUCUGCAGGGCAGCUGGCUGAACCAGGGAGGCAUUGAGCAAACAAUUCCCAUUAUCACCAGGUCUUGUGACUUUUGCAGAAACUCCCCCGUGGUUACCAAAGAAGAUCGUCAAGCCAUUGCAUCAGCCAGCUCAAAGUUUCCGUCUGUCAUGUGAGGAAGGCUUUUGAAUCAGUGAACCUAGAAGGAAGCGAAAACAAACCAGUGGGCUGACAAAUAUAGCUUCUAGGGAACAAAACUAAAGAGAAAUCAGAGAGAAACUUCUCUUGGCCUGCAGAAUGCAGAGCUGUUAAUUUAAAGCACUUUAUAAACAGUGAACUAAGGCCAGGUCUACCCUCUGGGGUGUACUGUGGUUUAACCCUAUUGUGUAGAGGCUAGAGGCAGCCUACAGUGAAGGAAGGGGGUUUCCGUUUUUGUAGGAACUCCACCUCCCCAAGUGAUAGUAGCUGGAUUGAUGGACGCAUUCCUCCACUGACCUAGCUGUAGGUCAGAAUAGCUACAGCGUUCGGGGGGUGGGGGUGGAUUUUUCACACCCCUGAGUGACAUAGGUAAGUCAAUCGACCUCAAUUUUAACUGUAGCCUGGGCUAGAACCUCAUUAUUGCCUUGGGAAGUAGGUAUUAUUAUAAUGAUUUUAUAGCAGGGUAAACUGAGGCUUCCUGCCUGCCCCAGCCCUACAGAUAACCUGCCUGUUCCCCGAAGCAUGAUGUUUGCUCGCUGUCAUCACACCUGGAAUGUGACUAGAGGUAAUCAAAUGAUCCAGCCCUUUAAUAGGUAAAAUCCAGCCACAAGAUUUCCUGGAGUGACUCAUGUAGCAACCAAAGCUGCACCUCUGGGACUAGAACCCAGGAGUCCUGACACCCGGCUCCUGCUCUGAUCACUGGGCGAGGCUCGCGCUCUACAUCAUUUGCUCAGCUAAUCUGGUGCCCCAGGGUAAGUGUGAAAACGGCGAAUCUGGCAAUGCAGGCUGGAGAAAUCCGUUCCCCAUCUAAAGAGCUCAGAGUGUUAAAGCUGAACGGGAGGCAGGCGUUCUUUCCUUGCCUCUGGGAACAAACGCAGGAGGGCAGGUCUCACGGGGGUGCUGGCAGGAAGCCCCCGGUUCCUGACUCCGUGGCACGUCUGGAAUGAACAGCCACCCAUGGGGCUGGGCUCUGGAAAUCCUCCCCCCUGUCUGCGUCGUUCCCUGGUGGGGCUGGAGCGCGUGUCAGCCAAAGGGGGCUGCUGUGAAUGAGUCUGGUCUGGCCUCUGGCCUUCUCCUUCCCUCUGGGCCCUGCUUUGUGACUAGUGGGCGUUGCUCCUUAUCCACCCGUGGGAACAGCUCUUUGUGUUGUGGCCAGCAGUCUCCGAUUCCUUAGCUCUUGCCUGGAGCAGCCAGGCGGCAAUGCUAGGAGGGCUCGCCAGGAUAGCUACAGCGGCACCGUUUUUCUAGCGCAAACGCCGCCGCAGGCAGUGCCAUCCUUGGACGAGCCCCAGGCAAAAUGGAGAGUUUCCAUUUUGAGGCUCCAGCCUCCCAUUGACAUUCGAUGGAUGCCCGACUGCCAUGGGGCCUUGGAAAAUCUCCCCCGAGUCGAGGUAGGAAAUGCCCCCCAGCCAGUUACCCGGGAGACACCUCGUGAAUUGCAAAGCUCCGGAAACAACAUUUUGUCUCCUUCUAGGGCAGAAUCUACCCGACAGCUUAACCUGCUCCCCAGCCCCCCCAGAAGGGAACACCUGCAGUGUGAAGUCCAGGGCCUGUGUGCAUUAGGGACUUUGUGCAGGUGUGGCUACACCUUAUAACCCACCCCAGUAGAACACCUGCUGCAGACUGGUGCAUGAGGGGCGUGUGCACCCAGUAGCGCAUUAGCCAGUGGACUGAUGGGGCCCGUGCCCAGGGCCAACUGAAAGGCCCCCAGAACCCACCCCCCAGCAGCCCCUGACCCAUCCCCGGCAGCAGCUGCGGGAUGGGGGAAACCCCCCCAGCGACUCCUGACCCCAUCCCCAGCAGAUGUUCCCGGGCAGGGGGAGCCCCAGUGCCUGCCAUCCAUCCCCAGCAGAAGCCGGGGGCAGCAAAGGAAGCCCCUGCACCCGACCCUGGUCCCCCGCAGAAGUGCAGGGCGGGGGGGGGGGAAGCCCCAGCAUCUGGACCCCUGCUGGGGCCCUGGGACUGGAGGAGCUCUCACUCCCCACUGGGACAGAGCUUCUCCAUACCAAAAAGGGUUG